GACGAACCGUGCGAACGUUGUUCGGAAUCACUGGGCUUAAAGGGCGCGUAGGUGGUUUGCCAAGUCGGGGUUGAAAUCUUUCGGCUUAACCGGAAAAGUGGCUUCGAUACUGGCAAGCUGGAGGGAGGUAGGGGCGGAUGGAACUUCCGGUGGAGCGGUGAAAUGUGUUGAUAUCGGAAGGAACGCCGGUGGCGAAAGCGAUCCGCUGGACCUCUUCUGACACUGAGACGCGAAAGCGUGGGGAGCAAACAGG
Molecule: ribosomal RNA, 253 nt
Filed under: uncultured bacterium
Lineage: Bacteria
Description: partial 16S ribosomal RNA
Rfam family: Bacterial small subunit ribosomal RNA
Source: RNAcentral